This 253-nucleotide ribosomal RNA is filed under the name uncultured bacterium. Its description in RNAcentral is "partial 16S ribosomal RNA". It matches the Rfam family "Bacterial small subunit ribosomal RNA", at positions 524 to 776 of the family's 1533-position model. The record is from RNAcentral.
UACGGGGGGUGCGAGCGUUGUCCGGAAUCACUGGGCGUAAAGGGCGCGUAGGUGGUUUGAUAAGGGUGUGGUGAAAGUCCGGGGCUCAACCCCGGAUCUGCCGUGCCGACUGUCAAACUCGAGGACUGUAGAGGCAGACGGAAUUCCGGGUGUAGCGGUGGAAUGCGUAGAGAUCCGGAGGAAGACCGGUGGCGAAGGCGGUCUGCUGGGCAGUUGCUGACACUGAGGCGCGACAGCGUGGGGAGCAAACAGG